Poecilia latipinna (sailfin molly) is the source of this 2188-nucleotide long non-coding RNA. RefSeq lists it as uncharacterized. The transcript has 2 exons. Lineage: Eukaryota; Metazoa; Chordata; Actinopteri; Cyprinodontiformes; Poeciliidae. The record is from RefSeq and is a predicted model, not a curated record.
AGCUCAUGAAAAAUCACUUUAUUUAGAUUUUCACUCUUUCCUUCUUAACAGGCACCAUUUUCUCCUCACAAUAUAUCCAAAGUGCCAUUCUAGUACAACAAAUACCCAUAAAUAGAAACAUCUCACACAUUCAUUGUUGUCCUUCUCCACAUUUUAGCAAAAAUAAAGAUUAGAAAAACCUGCAGCAUUCGAUCUGUGUUAACGUUGCUGUAAAUCAGAGGCACAUCAGGGGGGCCAUUGUGGGAAAAUCAAGCAGUUCAGCACAAUGCAUUCCUGUUGUGUAGGUCAGCAGAAAGCCCAGUAACGGAAGACAGCGGGGAAUGUGACUUUUACACCAUUGUGUCUCUGGGUAGAUUCAGAAAACACUCACUGCUUAAACCCUGGGACAUGCCGGUUAUUUCUCAUUAGCAGAAAUAGGAUGCGUUUCACAAGCUUUCUCCGCCUAAAAAAAAAAAAAAAAAAAAAAACACGGAGAGAAAUUUCCUGAAUCACCAGAACAGCAACAGUGUCAGUAAUCAAUGUAAAAAGCUUUUAUUUGAACAAGCACUCCCACGACCACACAAUAGGACAGUUACACAACAUGUGGAGUAACAAAUGAGCUGAACUUAUUUCACAACAACCGAAGGUUAACUCAGAUACAUUAAAUUCUAUCCCACGAGUUUUCUGACCAAGUCAAUUUAAGGUACAUUCAUCGUCGCAGCGGAAGAUAUUUAGAUUUCUGUUUAGUGACUUAAAAUACUCCUGAUGCAGUUUAAGUUGUUACAGCAGGUUUGUCGAUUCACAUUUAAUUUUGACACCUAUGUACAGGCUGGUGUUACCAGAGAAAAUAUCAGUCUUGAAAAACGCAAACUGAUACACUGAAGUGCUUUGUUAAUGUAAAGUACUAUUUAGCUGAACCCUCCCCCCAUAAAAAAAACAAAACAAACCUGGAUUUCUGACUAUUAAACAAAAUCGCGCCCUAUACAAGAUGCCAAAUCAUCAUAGUUUCUAAAUAGGAAAGUAACAGAAUAAUCACUCUGAAAAGCUUCGCUUUAGCUACUGCAUACAUAACUUGGUUUAACUGUGCUAUAAACUAAACAGGAUUAUGUACCGACUAAUCAAUAUGACCAAAAUCUGAAGGCAUUACUGUAAACGUGACACUAGCCCUUUACAGAACAGACCUUGGAAAGAGUCAACUAUUUUGCCCUUUUUUGUUCAGGAACAUGACGAAAUUGUUUUUUUCCUACCAUGUUGCAUAAGAACUAUUAGACAAACAUGCCAAGGGCGUCUAUCGUACCCGCUUUGGCAACUAACAAUUUAAAGUAGAGCUUCAUGGCACAUCUGAAAUCAACAUGUCAAUAAAGGAACACAGAAACACAUUUUUCUCACUUUCCACUUUGUUUCCCCAUCAUCACCUCCAACCUCUAAAGCUUCAGUGUCUGAGUUAUUAAGAUCUUUGUGCAGUGCAAGAAUAAAAAGUCAAUUCAGGUUACCUAAUAAAAAAAAAUAAUAAAAAAAAACGCUCAUCAAAAAGCGCAACAUCAAUACUUGGCACCUGAAAUUAUACUGCCUGCCAAAUAGUUUAUCUAAACACUAUCGCACACACUAGUAAUGCAAUCACAAUACAAUAUACCGUCUAAUUAAAAAUUAAAUUGAAGUAGAAUGGGACCGAACAACAAUAAAUACAAAAUUAUGGAGGGGUGAACAGACAUGAAACCCUCUGAAGCAGCUCCUUUAUAUACUGUAUGUGCUUUAAAAGACCUUUGGUAAAGUAAGCUGAAAGGCAAUACUUACUGAACGCUAUGUCAGGGUAUUAAAAAGUAAAAAAAAACAAAAAAAAAAACACAACAUACACACCUGUACCCACCAAAAUUUGUCAGUACUUUCCUAUAAUUCAAAGUCCUCUUGAAUUGAUUUCAGACAAAGUGCACCGGCUGUAUAAAACCCAAGAGUAAUGCAAAGCUGUCCCUACCUUACAUGUUUUUCUACAAACUCCUGCUCAGCUGGUUGAACAUUUUCCUCAUACUUGCAGAAAAGACAAACUAGUUAUGAGCUGGCUUGCAAAUACAUUUUAGAUUUCAGUUUGAUAGUGUUAAACAUUUUCAUUUAGUACCACAAAACCUGGCUAUGUGCUCUAGUACACCCAAGAGUAGUACAAACUGGUCAAUAUGACCACUAAGAACCAUGAUUUUAUGAAAAGUAAAAAAAA